This is a long non-coding RNA of Acipenser ruthenus (sterlet), 419 nucleotides long. RefSeq lists it as uncharacterized. Lineage: Eukaryota; Metazoa; Chordata; Actinopteri; Acipenseriformes; Acipenseridae. The transcript has 2 exons. The record is from RefSeq and is a predicted model, not a curated record.
UAUAUAUAUAUAUAAACAGCUUCAAUUGUAUACUUCUUGUCUAGAAUAUAUGUUUCCACAAAGAAAAGGUGAAUAGAAAGCGCCUGUGUUACUUGAGUGAGCGGGUGUUCACAAUAUUUGAACUGAUCCCUACGAGUGCUCUUCACACGCAGGAGCUGCAGAGGGAGGUGUAUUUAAUGGUUAUGUAGGGAGCUGCAGAGGAAGGUUGUCUGUGUAUUGCUUGUAUUUAAAAGUUAUGUCCCACAGCAGCUCAAGUGGGUGAAGCAGAUCGUUUUCAUCAAGUCAGUUGUAAGUGUAAUUAAAUGUAAAUGCAUUAUAAUAUCCUGUCAUAAAACAGGAUGCAGUAUGUCCUUUUGAUAAGUUAUGAAUGUGACAUUUUCCAAGCUUAAGAGCAUUAGAAUAAAUCUACUUAAACGUUU